Molecule: small RNA, 56 nt
Filed under: Balneola sp. EhC07
Lineage: Bacteria; Pseudomonadati; Balneolota; Balneolia; Balneolales; Balneolaceae
Description: Whalefall-1 RNA
Rfam family: Whalefall-1 RNA
Source: Rfam by way of RNAcentral
AGAUCUCCCUUCGAAGGGAGACCGAUCGAACACUUGUGUGAUAUCAGAGUGAUGUU